UAGCGGUCUUUGAGUACGCGGCCUUUGUGGACCGUUAAGGCUGCAUACUUUGAGACUGCAGA
MicroRNA precursor from Oreochromis aureus, 62 nucleotides. The record is from Ensembl. Lineage: Eukaryota; Metazoa; Chordata; Actinopteri; Cichliformes; Cichlidae.